This 301-nucleotide ribosomal RNA is filed under the name uncultured bacterium. RNAcentral describes it as "partial 16S ribosomal RNA". It matches the Rfam family "Bacterial small subunit ribosomal RNA", at positions 509 to 807 of the family's 1533-position model. The record is from RNAcentral.
CAGUAGCCGCGGGAAUACGUAGGGUGCAAGCGUUAAUCGGAAUUACUGGGCGUAAAGCGUGCGCAGGCGGUUUCGUAAGACAGAUGUGAAAUCCCCGGGCUUAACCUGGGAACUGCAUUUGUGACUGCGAGGCUAGAGUGUGUCAGAGGGGGGUGGAAUUCCACGUGUAGCAGUGAAAUGCGUAGAUAUGUGGAGGAACACCGAUGGCGAAGGCAGCCCCCUGGGCCAACACUGACACUGAGGCACGAAAGCGUGGGGAGCAAACAGGAUUAGAUACCCCCGUAGUCCCUGUCUCUUAUAC